This 380-nucleotide ribosomal RNA is filed under the name uncultured eukaryote. RNAcentral describes it as "partial 18S ribosomal RNA". It matches the Rfam family "Eukaryotic small subunit ribosomal RNA", at positions 592 to 976 of the family's 1831-position model. The record is from RNAcentral.
CAAUAGCGUAUAUUAAAGUUGUUGCAGUUAAAAAGCUCGUAGUUGAACCUUGGGCCUGGCUGGCCGGUCUGCCUCACCGCAUGCACUGGUCCGGCCGGGCCUUUCCCUCUGGGGAUCCGCAUGCCCUUCACUGGGUGUGUCGGGGAACCAGGACUUUUACUGUGAAAAAAUUAGAGUGUUCAAAGCAGGCCUAUGCUCGAAUACAUUAGCAUGGAAUAAUAGAAUAGGACGUUGCGGUUCUAUUUUGUUGGUUUCUAGGACCGCCGUAAUGAUUAAUAGGGACAGUCGGGGGCGUCAGUAUUCAAUCGUCAGAGGUGAAAUUCUUGGAUCGAUUGAAGACUAACUACUGCGAAANCANNNGCCAAGGAUGUUUUCAUNAA